AGCUCCAAUAGCGUAUAUUAAAGUUGUUGCAGUUAAAAAGCUCGUAGUUGGAUUUCUGGUAGUGGGCAAGAGUUCGUUGCACGUUACUCGCGUUCAUUGCCAUCCUUCUGUUAACCUAUCAGGGCAUUCUAUUGUCAGUUAGGGGCUCAGAUAUUUUACCUUGAGAAAAUUAGAGUGUUUCAGGCAGGCUUGUGCCCGGAUACAUUAGCAUGGAAUAAUGGAAUAGGACUUUAGCCUCUUCUGUUGGUCUGAGGGGUUGAAGUAAUGAUUAAUAGGGAUAGUUGGGGGCAUUAGUACUUAACUGUCAGAGGUGAAAUUCUCGGAUUUGUUAAAGACUAACUUAUGCGAAAGCAUUUGCCAAGGAUGUUU
RNAcentral lists this ribosomal RNA (369 nucleotides) under uncultured eukaryote. RNAcentral's name for it is "SSU rRNA". It matches the Rfam family "Eukaryotic small subunit ribosomal RNA", at positions 587 to 969 of the family's 1831-position model. The record is from RNAcentral.